GGCUAAGUAAUCUCCAUCCUGCCUGUUUCAUCAGAAUCAAUGGAGAUCAUGCACAAAAAAGCAUGAACUGCUAAGUGUUCUGUAUGUUUCUGAAGUUAACAGAUGCCUGCUGAUACAAUGUGUUGAAUAGUUCUUGCGGUUAGACAGCAUCAUUAAUCGAACAAGAAGUGAAAUACAAUUCAUAAAUGGAUAGAGAAUAUCACUUUCACGUGGCCCACACACCCGUGGCAAACAAUUUCGUCAGCAGCAUCUCUGGCUUCAAGCAUUGAAGGAUGUGUCAGUGGAUUUUGUGAAAUAAGCCAAGAAUUAAUUGCCUUUCACUGUGGCUGAAGUGAUUGAAAGCUCUGCGAAGCCCUCACCAGAAGCAGAUGCUGGUACCAUGCUUCUUGUACAGACUGCAGAACCGAAACAAGUGCUUGUUCCUUGGUGCCAAAAAGAAGAACCAGCAUUCAGACAAAGAACUUUUCUCAGCAAGGUGAUCUUACUUUCUGCAGAAAGGGUGCUUCUUGGAAGUCUGCUUGUCAUGGGAGCACACUGAACAAAUACAAGCAGGAGUUAUUAUCCCUGACACAUUGGAUCCUUACUGCUGUGUCCUAUCCCCAUUGGCUGGAGCUGGACUGCCUGCCCAAUCUAGACUGAUCCGAACUGGCUAAAAACUUAAAAGUUUCCUAAAUAGGUAAACGUGCAGUAAUGAACAAAGAAAGUAAAGGGAUUGUUUAUGGGAAAGUAGGAGAAUAAUAACAUUUCCAAAUAAGGAAGAGGUGUAGGCUGUAAGCUGGGAAAUGCUUGGGCAUGUUAGAACAUGUCUGAGCAGGCUAUAGGCCAGAACAAAUAACAUGGUUAAAAUACAAGGACAUAAAAUGCACUUAUUCCCUUACCAUAUUUAAUGGCUACAUAGGGCUUAACAAAGAGUUAUUAGCAAAAAGCAAGGAAUGUUGAAGGAAGCUAGUUUUUAAAAGAAACUAUUAUUUCUGACACUUAUUAUUUAUUCUUUAACAAAAAGAGAAACCUUGCAGAUAAACUUUACUUUUCACAAAUAGAAACAAUGUCCUACUUUUCAUUUCUGUUAAGAACUCUACUCAGCUUUUCAAAUAAAUUUCUGUUUAUGUAAUUUAAUUCUUUUGACAAUAAAAC
Callithrix jacchus (white-tufted-ear marmoset) is the source of this 1134-nucleotide long non-coding RNA. Lineage: Eukaryota; Metazoa; Chordata; Mammalia; Primates; Cebidae. The record is from Ensembl.